GGUGCUGCGGCUCAGUGGCAGAGGGUCUGCUUUCCAUGGAGAACAUCCCAGGUUCAAUCCCUGCCAUCUCUA
Molecule: transfer RNA, 72 nt
Filed under: Sphaerodactylus townsendi
Lineage: Eukaryota; Metazoa; Chordata; Lepidosauria; Squamata; Sphaerodactylidae
Description: tRNA-Gly
Source: RNAcentral